This is a long non-coding RNA of Dendroctonus ponderosae (mountain pine beetle), 1318 nucleotides long. RefSeq lists it as uncharacterized. The record is from RefSeq and is a predicted model, not a curated record. NCBI's taxonomy places the organism in Eukaryota, Metazoa, Arthropoda, Insecta, Coleoptera, Curculionidae. The transcript has 3 exons.
GCUUUGUUCAAGUGAAUAACACUUUUUUCAUCUGGACAUUGAACAGUGAAAUGAAUGGGAUAUUUCUCGCCAUAAAAUAGACUAAUAAUACAGAAUACAGAGAAAAGCAAUUGGGAGAUAUGGUAGUGCUAUGUUAUUGCCAACUGACAGUGAGUCUAUGAAAAAUGUAUUUGUUAGUACGCGCAAAUCGCGAGAAAAAAUGCCCAGAUUAUCAAUAAUAAAUCACAGAUUACCCGACAACAAAUCGGUUCAUUGUUUUGUUCAGUUAUUGUAUUGUUCGACAGCUUAAAAUGGUUCGUACUACUUGUGCCAACACGAUUAAAUAGUAGUUGUUUAUUGGCUUGAUUUGCCAAAAAAUGGCAUAGCAAUUCGGAUUUCGCUUUCGCAGUUUUUGUUCUACGUUGGGCGCAUAAAGUGAGAUCUAAUGGAAUGCCCCCUGCAGAGCCAGAGUACCAGGAGAAAUAGAAGGUUCCAGAGUUUAAUAAUUUUCGCACCUGGAAUGUUUGACUUGGUUCAAUUUUUUACUAACAUUUUGUUGUUGUUUUAUCUAAUAAAUAUGAAAAGUCAGAUAGUUGGGAGAAUGUUUCGCUCAUAAUAUGGAUGUCCCAAUAUAAAAAGGCAGUAAUGAAAUAAAAAGGCAGUAAAAGCAAGGGUUUAAAAAAUUCGUUAGGUAUUGCAAGUGAUUUUAUUUAUUGUAUUCUAUCACGGGAUUUACACGAUUUCACUUUUAAAAGGUUUGGAAAAUUUGCUCCCGCCUUCCUAGCCAUGUUGUCUUCCUAGAGUUGUCUUAACAAACUUAAAUUGAUAGACUGUCUGUGUAAUAAAGUGCAGCAACAAAUAUUGGAAUUUUUUUCUGGAUCUAUGCCGCAAUGACGAACACAUCAAAAAAAUAAUAACCAAUUUAAAAUCUGAAUGUUCUACGAGAACGAGCAUUUUUUCAUGCCUAAAAGAUGUUGCAAGGGAAAAUAUGAGAAAAUAAUUUGUGAUAUUGCUGGACGGACUACAUUCAAAAGCUGAUUUCAAUAUACAUCUAGGUCAACAAUUUCUUCAAGGGUUUUUUACGAUAAGUUUUAUUUAACUGAAUUACGCAUUUUGAUUUGUUUUAUUUUCGUUCGUUGUUGAAUAGGAAAUUCUCAUUCAAAGCUUCUAAACUGUUUUACCUCUAAUGAAAUUAGUUUAUUUAGACCUGUAAAACACUUGACCUGAAAACACCUACUAACAAUUUUCCCAUAAAACGGUAAAAAUUAUAUUUUCUAUGCAUUUGUACUUUAUUUGAAUUGUAAAAAGUACUCAGAUCAAAUAAAAUAUGUAAGAAAUC